GAUUUCUGGUUCGGCGCAUUUGGCCCGUCUCGGUUUACGGGAUUGUGUGCCGACGUGCGCCAUCCACCCUUCGAGAGAACACUUCUACCCUUCACUGGGUCGGGAGUGCUAUCUCGAUCUUUUACUUUGAAAAAAUUAGAGUGUUUAAAGCAGGCUUGCGCUAUGAAUACAUUAGCAUGGAAUAAUAAUUUAGGACUUUGGUCUUAUUUUGUUGGUUUCUAGGACUAAAGUAAUGAUUGAUAGGGACAGUUGGGGGUGCUAGUAUUCAGCGGCCAGAGGUGAAAUUCUUGGAUUCGCUGAAGACUAACUUAUGCGAAAGCAUU
This 323-nucleotide ribosomal RNA is filed under the name Cercomonas sp. RNAcentral describes it as "SSU rRNA". The stretch from base 108 to 323 matches the Rfam family "Eukaryotic small subunit ribosomal RNA", at positions 738 to 955 of the family's 1831-position model. The record is from RNAcentral. Lineage: Eukaryota; Cercozoa; Cercomonadida; Cercomonadidae.